GCUGGCGGCGUGCCUAAUACAUGCAAGUCGAGCGAAUGGAUUAAGAGCUUGCUCUUAUGAAGUUAGCGGCGGACGGGUGAGUAACACGUGGGUAACCUGCCCAUAAGACUGGGAUAACUCCGGGAAACCGGGGCUAAUACCGGAUAACAUUUUGAACCGCAUGGUUCGAAAUUGAAAGGCGGCUUCGGCUGUCACUUAUGGAUGGACCCGCGUCGCAUUAGCUAGUUGGUGAGGUAACGGCUCACCAAGGCAACGAUGCGUAGCCGACCUGAGAGGGUGAUCGGCCACACUGGGACUGAGACACGGCCCAGACUCCUACGGGAGGCAGCAGUAGGGAAUCUUCCGCAAUGGACGAAAGUCUGACGGAGCAACGCCGCGUGAGUGAUGAAGGCUUUCGGGUCGUAAAACUCUGUUGUUAGGGAAGAACAAGUGCUAGUUGAAUAAGCUGGCACCUUGACGGUACCUAACCAGAAAGCCACGGCUAACUACGUGCCAGCAGCCGCGGUAAUACGUAGGUGGCAAGCGUUAUCCGGAAUUAUUGGGCGUAAAGCGCGCGCAGGUGGUUUCUUAAGUCUGAUGUGAAAGCCCACGGCUCAACCGUGGAGGGUCAUUGGAAACUGGGAGACUUGAGUGCAGAAGAGGAAAGUGGAAUUCCAUGUGUAGCGGUGAAAUGCGUAAAGAUAUGGAGGAACACCAGUGGCGAAGGCGACUUUCUGGUCUGUAACUGACACUGAGGCGCCAA
This 742-nucleotide ribosomal RNA is filed under the name Bacillus cereus. RNAcentral's name for it is "bacterial SSU rRNA". It matches the Rfam family "Bacterial small subunit ribosomal RNA", at positions 35 to 757 of the family's 1533-position model. The record is from RNAcentral. Lineage: Bacteria; Bacillati; Bacillota; Bacilli; Caryophanales; Bacillaceae.